AUUGAUUGUUUAGUUAGAGAUUUUGCCAACUUCCUGAUGGUUCAGUUUUGUGAUUCUGCGAAAAGAACCGCAUUUCCUUUUUGACUUAAGAGGGAGAGAGAGGAGGGAGAGGAGCGGAGGCUGGGGGCUGGCGGACUCAUCGAGCUGCUGCAAAUAAACCCUCCACCUCCUAUCAGCAGCUAUCGACCCGGGCACGGACCACGCAUGGAAACCCUUUGUGCUGUGCUCUGUAUGUUCAGGUAUCAGAUGACCUGAUUCACAUCAAUCAGAAAGAAAAAAUAUAUAUAUGCUGAGCAGAAAAGAAUGAAGGAGAAAUAAGAUCUAUGAAAGCAAAAACCUGAGGACUGCAGUGUACUUGGAUGGAGAUUGUCACAGCAGGACAGAGGCAAAAGGUUCUGAAGAAGGCUCUGAGUACCUGGUGGAGCUCUUGCCGCUUCCCCCAUGCGUUCUCCUCGGGCUGCCCAGGCCGGGAACAUCACAACCACAGCUGCUGGUGUCUCCUAGGAUGGGGGUGCAGGACAUUGAUCUCCAGUGGCACAUCUGGUGUGGCAGCUGGAAAGUCCGCGACCACCAUGGGCAUGGGCCUCAGUGAAGACUUAAGCUGCAUGCACAACACUACAGCAACCUCAUCUCACAAAUGAAGCUCCAAAAGGCCUGGAAAACUACGCAGCUUUGUUGCCUAAAACUCCAUUGGCAUCCCUUCAGCUUGAAG
Molecule: long non-coding RNA, 712 nt
Filed under: Gallus gallus (chicken)
Lineage: Eukaryota; Metazoa; Chordata; Aves; Galliformes; Phasianidae
Description: lncRNA (ENSGALG00010010316.1)
Source: RNAcentral